GACAUUAUCAAAUUGGGUGCCAUCAAUACACUCAAAUAAGGUUAACUUUGGCCUUUCGACAAGUUAUCUCAUCACUUUUAGUAGACGUCUCAGCUGUCACAUUUUUUGUGAAAUGUAGUGCAUCUUACUUCCACCUGACUUAUGCAAAAGUAUAGAACCAAAAUUUAAAAUGAUAUCAUCAUCCAAUAGUAUUGACUUAACUUCAUCUUCCCUCAUGUUAAAAAGAAUAUUAUCAGUUUUAACACUAUGUUUACAGUUUCUAACAUGUUGCCAUAACUCAAGCAGUUGAUGCACGGUAAGUAGUCCUCUGCCACCUUUGUUUGACUGAAUCUUCGCAUUACGAUGAGUGUUCCUCUGCCAUCUGCUAGUGUUCUCAAGUUACGGUAGAAGUUUGCCAUGAGACAAAGUUUUUAACCCAAAGUUUCUAGAUUCGCCAGUUGAUGCUAAAAUUCAAAUGGCGUGCUAUUUUGCACUGUAAUUUGUGGCAGAAAUAGCACGCCUGUUUUUUGUUGUACACCCUCUUACCAUCAUUUCCCGCACAAUAAUUGGGCACAUUGAUUUCAGGAUACUUGGUCUGAUUCUGAGUUUGUAUUACAACUAUCAACAACUUCUUUCUGCAAAUCAGCAUUAUCUCUUGUAGAAACUUGUGGGUCGGGUCCAUAUGCUCAACAAUGGAAAAUUGUGGGGCGCUGAAUCACAUUGCGGCAUUAGAUCAGCAGUGUGUUCAUCAUGUUGUGAAAAAAUUGAAACAUGGCAUUGGUUAGAACAGAGUGCUAAAACGAGGUCUAUAGAGCUCUCUAAAAAGAGAGCUCAUUUUUAAGUUAUAUCAACUAAACGGAAAAUCCUAAAAUUUUAUGGUGUACCUAUAUUUUCAGUGGUAGCUUUGACAUAUACAUUUUCAUUCAAACAAACCAAGUUUUCAUUUAACACUAGCACUAUAUAACAGCUACAAAUACUGAAAGUUUGGUAGUGAUUGGAUAAGUAGUUUAUUAGUUAUGAAGUCACAACCAAUCCACAUUGCGUCAAAUUUUUACAAUUUAUUAAAUUAGCGUUAAUGUUUAAAAUUAAAUAUAAAAUGGUUUACCAUUAUUAUAGCGUCUUUUAAGACAUUUUAUUUUAUAUUAAUGGGCACCAUUCUUUUGUCAGUCCAGCCUUUUUUCACAGCUCUGAGGUGUUUUCUCCUCUUCUUUACUCUAUCCGAGAACUUUCGCUCUUCGCGUCGCACACGAUUGAUAUCGCCCAUGCUACAUGCUAAUGUUGUGAAAUGUCCUGGCUCAAUAUUGAGUUCUUUAAAUGUGUCCAAAAUACUUUUCAUGCCAUCAUUAAAAUAGGCAACUGCUUGGUAUGUUGCAGUUUCUAGAGUACGUCUCUGUACAAAUGUGUCCUUGUGGCAUCGUUGCCAAAUCAGAUUGUUCAGGCAAACUCGAAAUUGCAAAUAUACUACUAUUUAUUUUAAGAAAAUUCAUUCAGUCUUUACGACGAAAACAAUGUUUUUUGAGGCUAUAAAGAAAAAUUUGAUUUCCCCGCGAAGGAAAAAUUUAGCGUCCUGUUGUCAGGCAGUGCGUUGACGUUAUAUUUGAUUACUCCCUCUGUUGACGCGUGACGUAACCCGGAAGUAUCGAGUUAUUGGUAAUCACUAUGGAAUAUUAACAUACGUGCCCUAUCACCAGAUGAAAUUUUAAAUAAAAUAUGCUAAAAUUGAUUAUUAUCAAUCAUUAGUUACCUUGUAAGCAACUUCUUUUCUACAUCAUUAAGGCUUAGGAAUAUUUCUUGAUUAGCCUCCUUGCUCUGGUCUAUUUAGCAUUUUAAAUGCAUCUGUAACUUCCCCUCCUCUUAUUAUAACUGCCACAAACACAGCAUAGCUAACUUCAACCACAAGGAGGAGCAUGGGGCAUUCUGAGUGAACUUCUUUUCUUUAAGGGUUUUUAGUGCUAAGGAAGACACCC
This 1946-nucleotide long non-coding RNA is filed under the name Anneissia japonica. RNAcentral describes it as "uncharacterized LOC117116495". The record is from RNAcentral. Lineage: Eukaryota; Metazoa; Echinodermata; Crinoidea; Comatulida; Comatulidae.